This 1065-nucleotide long non-coding RNA is filed under the name Vulpes vulpes (red fox). RNAcentral describes it as "lncRNA (ENSVVUG00000019851.1)". Lineage: Eukaryota; Metazoa; Chordata; Mammalia; Carnivora; Canidae. The record is from RNAcentral.
UGAUGGGCCCAGUUCUCCAGUCCUCCUUCUACUUAUGUCCUGUGUUGUAUGACUUUGCAGGUGCAUGCCUUUGAGUAUGGACCAGGCCAUGUAACUUCUUUUGGCGAGCAGAAGGAGGUAGAAACACACCAUUUCUGAGGCCUGGCCUCCAGACAUGUUGUGUGCCUCCCUUUGUACCCUGUGCCUCUGCCAUUGCCAUGAUCAAGGCACACCCACAUUGGCCCCGUGGUCUCAGGAGGAAAAGAGAUUCAUGGAGAGCCAAACUACUGCAGCAAAGCCCAGCCAGAACCAGCCAAACCCAGUUGACCCCAGAUGGGGGCUGAUCCUGCUGUUAUGCACAACUUCUCAUCCAGAGAGACACCAUGGAGAAUAAAUCAGGACCAGAACUUAGUGUGACAGCUGCUGUCUGGCAGGGCCCUGGGGUUUGGGGGCUAAUGGGGUCUCACAGCAGGGAGGAGCUGCUGCCAGCCGGCAGGGAGGAGAGGUGGGGUUGAGACUUUGAAAAACGAAUGGAAGAAUUUUGCCACUUCAUAAAACCAACGUCAGUGGGUGAAUCAUAGACUGUGGAGGACUGAGAGGGCUGGCAAGGUCUUUAUGAUCCGUGAGCUUGGGGUUCUUAAUCUGAGGACUGAAGCUAGGUUUUAUGGGGGUCUGUGAACCCAUGAAAUCGAGUGUGAUUUUUUCAGGGCAUAGGUGCAUUUCCCUGGGGCUAUAGUUCAUUGCUUUCAUCAGUUCUCAAAGGUUAAGAACUGGUCUAGUUCAACUCACUCAUCAUAUAGAGGAGAAAACUAUGGGGUCCUUGGAAGAGAAGGAACCAGUGGAGUUCCCCUAGCAGAACUGGAAUUAUUAAUCAGGAGACCCAGAUUCUAAAUUGGCCUAGCCAGAGUCUGGCUACAUGAACUUGGGCUGGUCACCUUACCUCUCUGAGUGUUUUAUUAUGCAUGCAAUUAAAGAGUUGUAGAGAAGAUUAAGUAAAGGACUUAACGGAUUUCAACACCUACCCACAAUGUUAAUAUGUAAUUAACUGCCAAUAAAUAUUCUUUGAGUCACUGUGUACCUUUGAAA